UGUAACAGCAACUCCAUGUGGAAGUAAAUGGAAUAUUCCGGUGGAGAUGCUGUUAUCUG
Molecule: microRNA precursor, 59 nt
Filed under: Xenopus laevis (African clawed frog)
Lineage: Eukaryota; Metazoa; Chordata; Amphibia; Anura; Pipidae
Description: Xla-Mir-194-P4d_pre stem-loop
Rfam family: mir-194 microRNA precursor family
About the family: The hairpin precursors (represented here) are predicted based on base pairing and cross-species conservation -- their extents are not known.
Source: RNAcentral